Transfer RNA from Ipomoea nil (Japanese morning glory), 74 nucleotides. It matches the Rfam family "tRNA". From Rfam's summary of the family: Transfer RNA (tRNA) molecules are approximately 80 nucleotides in length. Their secondary structure includes four short double-helical elements and three loops (D, anti-codon, and T loops). The record is from Rfam. NCBI's taxonomy places the organism in Eukaryota, Viridiplantae, Streptophyta, Magnoliopsida, Solanales, Convolvulaceae.
GCUGGAGUAGCUCAGUUAGUUAGAGCGUGUGGCCCUUAACCACAAGGUCUAAGGUUUAAACCCUUUCUCUAGCG